ACGUAGGGGGCAAGCGUUGUCCGGAAUAAUUGGGCGUAAAGCGUGAGUAGGCGGCCAUCCAAGUCUGGUGUGAAAGCUCGGGGCUCAACCCCGAGUCUGCACUGGAAACUGGAUGUCUUGAGUCCGGAAGAGGAGACUGGAAUUCCUGGUGUAGCGGUGAAAUGCGCAGAUAUCAGGAAGAACACCGGUGGCGAAGGCGGGUCACUGGUUCGGAACUGACGCUGAGACGCGAAAGCGUGGGGAGCAAACAG
RNAcentral lists this ribosomal RNA (251 nucleotides) under uncultured prokaryote. Its description in RNAcentral is "partial 16S rRNA". It matches the Rfam family "Bacterial small subunit ribosomal RNA", at positions 525 to 775 of the family's 1533-position model. The record is from RNAcentral.